UAGGGAAUAUUGGACAAUGGGUGCGAGCCUGAUCCAGCCAUGCCGCGUGCAGGAAGAAAGCCUUCUGGGUUGUAAACUGCUUUUCUCUGGGAUAAAAGGCCCAUGCGUGGGACAUUGAAGGUACCAGAGGAAUAAGCCACGGCUAACUACGUGCCAGCAGCCGCGGUAAUACGUAGGUGGCAAGCGUUGUCCGGAUUUAUUGGGUUUAAAGGGUGCGUAGGCGGUCCAGUAAGUCAGUGGUGAAAUACGGCAGCUCAACUGUCGAGGUGCCAUUGAUACUGUUGGACUUGAGUACUGAUGAGGUAGGCGGAAUGGACGGUGUAGCGGUGAAAUGCUUAGAGAUCGUCCAGAACACCGAUAGCGAAGGCAGCUUACUAAGGAGUAACUGACGCUGAGGCACGAAAGUGUGGGGAUCAAACAGGAUUAGAUACCCUGGUAGUCCACACUGUAAACGAUGAUUACUCGAUGUGUGCGAUACACGGCACGCGUCUUAGCAAAAGCGAUAAGUAAUCCACCUGGGGAGUACGCCGGCAACGGUG
This 539-nucleotide ribosomal RNA is filed under the name uncultured bacterium. RNAcentral's name for it is "bacterial SSU rRNA". It matches the Rfam family "Bacterial small subunit ribosomal RNA", at positions 355 to 896 of the family's 1533-position model. The record is from RNAcentral.